This 539-nucleotide long non-coding RNA is filed under the name Ananas comosus (pineapple). RNAcentral's name for it is "long non-coding RNA (ACOM_LNC031418)". Lineage: Eukaryota; Viridiplantae; Streptophyta; Magnoliopsida; Poales; Bromeliaceae. The record is from RNAcentral.
AGGGGAGACUCUGUCCGCAGUACAGGAAAAAUCCUGUCCGUUCGGCGGUUUGUUGACGUGCCCGAAUCUGACCAAAGAGGCGGGCUCGGGGCGUGACACGAUAUACCUGCCGACAAUGGAGAGAAAUGAGAAAAAAUAUUAUUAAAAAAAUAUUUAAAAAUAUUUGAGAAAAAUAUAGGUGAAAAUAAAAAAAAAAUAUUACUAAAAAAAAUAUAUGCUUUAUAUUUGAGAAACAUAUAGGUGAAAAUGAGAAAAUACCGAAAUAUAUACUACCAAAAAAAGAUAUGCUCUACAUAUUGUGUGAUAAGUAUUAUGAUGAGAUAAAAUUGGAUACCGUAGAUAUUAUACGUGAAAAUAUUAAGAUAUGUUCAAUACUUAAAAAAUGCGUAAAAUAUUUUGACACGUAUUAUGUGAUAAGUAUUAUGAUAAGAUAAGAUUAUAUAUUAUAAAUAUUUUAUGUGAGGGUAUUAAGAUAUGCUUUAUGUUUGAGAAACACGUAAAAUGUUUUAGCGGGUAUUACUUAAAUAUUGAAUAUUUUG